This 416-nucleotide long non-coding RNA is filed under the name Homo sapiens (human). RNAcentral's name for it is "HSALNT0224704". Lineage: Eukaryota; Metazoa; Chordata; Mammalia; Primates; Hominidae. The record is from RNAcentral.
CUGAAGACAAGAAUCUGGAAUAUAGUGACUUCAUUGAGGAACGUUCCUGGAUGGUUUAUCUGUGAUGUCUUCACCUUGUCUCUCUCGAGGGCAAUGCCUUGCACUUACUGCUUUUCAACCAAUAAACGAUGCUCUUUGAUUCUGAUAUGAUGGAGGGCAAAUUGCCCCUACAAGCAAGGAUGUGUUGCCACCACCAAAGGAAAUAGGAGUCUGAAGAGCACAAGUCAAAAAAACAAAGGCUGAUCUGAUGGAAAGGUGGGCAUUUGUUUCAAUUCAAUAAAAUAGCCUCUGUUUUCUCCAUUUAUACCUGCCACAUACAUAAGGCUUAAUGGUACACUUAGCACAAUUUAAACAAGAAGAAAUUUUCGGGAGGACAUUCAUGGAUUUUGAUACUGAAACAGAAGAGCUUGUUUGCA